AGCCUGUGUAUGUUUAUAGUGUGAGGGCAGUUCGAGGGGAACCUCUGUGCCGUCGAGACGCCCAUACCAUUCUGGAAUCAGACCAAUAAGCUGAUAUUCUGACUGUUCCCGCAAUGCGUUUGACCGCUACUGAAUAAACCUUGAGCGAGUGCUA
Long non-coding RNA from Penaeus indicus, 154 nucleotides. RefSeq lists it as uncharacterized. The transcript is spliced from 2 exons. The record is from RefSeq and is a predicted model, not a curated record. NCBI's taxonomy places the organism in Eukaryota, Metazoa, Arthropoda, Malacostraca, Decapoda, Penaeidae.